Molecule: ribosomal RNA, 927 nt
Filed under: uncultured bacterium
Lineage: Bacteria
Description: bacterial SSU rRNA
Rfam family: Bacterial small subunit ribosomal RNA
Source: RNAcentral
GACGAACGCUGGCGGCGUGCCUAAUACAUGCAAGUCGAACGCUGCUUAAGAAGAAACUUCGGUUUUUUCUUGAGCGGAGUGGCGGACGGGUGAGUAACACGUGGGGAACCUAUCUAUCAGCGGGGGAUAACACUUGGAAACAGGUGCUAAUACCGCAUAUGGCUUUUUUUCACCUGAAAGAAAGCUCAAAGGCGCUUUACAGCGUCACUGAUGGCUGGUCCCGCGGUGCAUUAGCCAGUUGGUGAGGUAACGGCUCACCAAAGCAACGAUGCAUAGCCGACCUGAGAGGGUGAUCGGCCACACUGGGACUGAGACACGGCCCAGACUCCUACGGGAGGCAGCAGUAGGGAAUCUUCGGCAAUGGACGCAAGUCUGACCGAGCAACGCCGCGUGAGUGAAGAAGGUUUUCGGAUCGUAAAGCUCUGUUGUCAGCAAAGAACAGGAGAAAGAGGAAAUGCUUUUUCCAUGACGGUAGCUGACCAGAAAGCCACGGCUAACUACGUGCCAGCAGCCGCGGUAAUACGUAGGUGGCAAGCGUUGUCCGGAUUUAUUGGGCGUAAAGCGAGCGCAGGCGGUGAUUUAAGUCUGAUGUGAAAGCCCCCAGCUCAACUGGGGAGGGUCAUUGGAAACUGGAUCACUUGAGUGCAGAAGAGGAGAGUGGAAUUCCAUGUGUAGCGGUGAAAUGCGUAGAUAUAUGGAGGAACACCAGUGGCGAAGGCGGCUCUCUGGUCUGUAACUGACGCUGAGGCUCGAAAGCGUGGGUAGCAAACAGGAUUAGAUACCCUGGUAGUCCACGCCGUAAACGAUGAGUGCUAAGUGUUGGAGGGUUUCCGCCCUUCAGUGCUGCAGUUAACGCAUUAAGCACUCCGCCUGGGGAGUACGACCGCAAGGUUGAAACUCAAAGGAAUUGACGGGGGCCCGCACAAG